UUAGUCAUUCUCUCUCAACAUUUUACAGACAUGGACUCUCACCUCGCAUGUCUAUCUUAGCAGUAUAGCCUUUAGUCAGUCUAGACAAUUCCUGCAUAUAGAUUCACUUGGGUCUAUGUUUGGGGUUUCCCGCUCAUUCAAAUAAAGUUAUUUUCCUUGUAAGUCAACUCAAAUCUAGUGCUCCUCUCAUUUUCAGCUAUUAAUUGGUUUGCUGCUCCUGAGUCCUGUGCUAUUAGCAGCACAAGAAAAAGG
Molecule: long non-coding RNA, 252 nt
Filed under: Panax ginseng (ginseng)
Lineage: Eukaryota; Viridiplantae; Streptophyta; Magnoliopsida; Apiales; Araliaceae
Description: long non-coding RNA (PGIN_LNC003304)
Source: RNAcentral